Molecule: ribosomal RNA, 433 nt
Filed under: uncultured bacterium
Lineage: Bacteria
Description: partial 16S ribosomal RNA
Rfam family: Bacterial small subunit ribosomal RNA
Source: RNAcentral
AACGAACGCUGGCGGCAUGCCUAACACAUGCAAGUCGAACGAGACCUUCGGGUCUAGUGGCGCACGGGUGCGUAACGCGUGGGAACCUGCCCUUAGGUUCGGAAUAACUCCCCGAAAGGGGUGCUAAUACCGGAUAAUGUCUUCGGACCAAAGAUUUAUCGCCUUUGGAUGGGCCCGUGUUGGAUUAGCUAGUUGGUAGGGUAAAAGCCUACCAAGGCGACGAUCCAUAGCUGGUCUGAGAGGAUGAUCAGCCACACUGGGACUGAGACACGGCCCAGACUCCUACGGGAGGCAGCAGUGGGGAAUAUUGGACAAUGGGCGAAAGCCUGAUCCAGCAAUGCCGCGUGAGUGAUGAAGGCCUUAGGGUUGUAAAGCUCUUUUACCCGGGAUGAUAAUGACAGUACCGGGAGAAUAAGCGCCGGCUAACUCCGUG